RNAcentral lists this ribosomal RNA (413 nucleotides) under uncultured microorganism. RNAcentral describes it as "bacterial SSU rRNA". It matches the Rfam family "Archaeal small subunit ribosomal RNA", at positions 459 to 871 of the family's 1478-position model. The record is from RNAcentral.
CAGCAGCCGCGGUAAUACCGGCGGCCCGAGUGGCGGCCACUAUUAUUGGGCUUAAAGCGUCCGUAGCCGGGUUGGUUAGUCUCCCGGGAAAUCUGGUCGCUUAACGAUCAGACUUCCGGAGGAUACUGCUGGCCUAGGGACCGGGAGAGGCCGAGGGUAUUCCCAGGGUAGGGGUGAAAUCCUGUAAUCCCGGGAGGACCACCUGUGGCGAAGGCGCUCGGCUGGAACGGGUCCGACGGUGAGGGACGAAGGCCAGGGGAGCGAACCGGAUUAGAUACCCGGGUAGUCCUGGCUGUAAACGAGGCGGACUAGGUGUCGGGCAAGCUAAGGGCUUGUCCGGUGCCGCAGGGAAGCCGUUAAGUCCGCCGCCUGGGGAGUACGGCCGCAAGGCUGAAACUUAAAGGAAUUGGCGG